CAUUUCGAUGUAUUAUUUUGCUUACAAGACUUCUGCUUUUUAGAAAACCCUGAUUUCUUCCCACUUUCUAUUAGGAGUAAGGAGAGCAAGUAGUAAUGAGGGAUGAUGAGGAGUGAAAGCCCAUUCUGACAUCCAUGUGUCAUUUGCAGCAAUCUUAUGAAGCAGGCAGUAGUAUAUUUAUUUUACAAUGGGAUCAACUUGGGAAUUUCUCGUCAGCCUCUUGCAAGGAAAAGAUAGAAGUUUCAGGGAGAUUUUGGACAAACAUGCCGCUCAACAGACCAUUUCUACUCUGUCAUUUCUCUUCCAUUUGUAGGAGUUCCAGUUUCAAAACCAAGUAAUACCUCCGAGAAAGAGCAAGGACCAGAGUUUUGGGGUCUAAGUCUUAUAAAUUCUGGGAAAAAGAGCACUGCAGAUUACAGCCUGGAUAAUGAGCCAGCUCAGGCGGUGUCAGGUGUUCACUGGGGCUAUGAGGAGACCAAGACUUUCCUGGCAAUUUUGAGUGAAUCUCCUUUCUCUGAAAAGCUCCGGACUUGUCAC
Molecule: long non-coding RNA, 537 nt
Filed under: Pan troglodytes (chimpanzee)
Lineage: Eukaryota; Metazoa; Chordata; Mammalia; Primates; Hominidae
Description: long non-coding RNA NONPTRT000175
Source: RNAcentral